UGGGGAAUAUUGGACAAUGGGCGAAAGCCUGAUCCAGCCAUGCCGCGUGUGUGAAGAAGGUCUUCGGAUUGUAAAGCACUUUAAGUUGGGAGGAAGGGCAGUAAGCGAAUACCUUGCUGUUUUGACGUUACCGACAGAAUAAGCACCGGCUAACUCUGUGCCAGCAGCCGCGGUAAUACAGAGGGUGCAAGCGUUAAUCGGAAUUACUGGGCGUAAAGCGCGCGUAGGUGGUUCGUUAAGUUGGAUGUGAAAGCCCCGGGCUCAACCUGGGAACUGCAUCCAAAACUGGCGAGCUAGAGUAGGGCAGAGGGUGGUGGAAUUUCCUGUGUAGCGGUGAAAUGCGUAGAUAUAGGAAGGAACCCCAGUGGCGAAGGCGACCACCUGGGCUCAUACUGACACUGAGGUGCGAAAGCGUGGGGAGCAAACAGGA
Molecule: ribosomal RNA, 430 nt
Filed under: Acidobacteriota bacterium
Lineage: Bacteria; Pseudomonadati; Acidobacteriota
Description: Acidobacteria bacterium partial 16S ribosomal RNA
Rfam family: Bacterial small subunit ribosomal RNA
Source: RNAcentral